Molecule: non-coding RNA, 27 nt
Filed under: Xenopus tropicalis (tropical clawed frog)
Lineage: Eukaryota; Metazoa; Chordata; Amphibia; Anura; Pipidae
Also listed under: 4 other names
Source: RNAcentral
CUUUUGGCUAAGAUCAAGUGUAGUAUC